AAAGAAAAUAACAAUGAUUCCCCUAGUAACGGCGAGCGAAGAGGGAAUAGCUCAAAUUUUAAAUCUGUUGGGUCUUACCUAACCGAGUUGUAAUUUGAAGAAACGUUUUCUGCGUGUUUGAUUUAGCCCAAAUCCUUUGGGAUAAGGUAUCAUGGAGGGUGAGAAUCCCGUCCGGCCUAAUCAAAUGUGCUUUACGAUACGUUUUCUAAGAGUCGAGUUGUUUGGGAUUGCAGCUCAAAAUGGGAGGUAAAUUUCUCCUAAGGCUAAAUAUAGGCGAGAGACCGAUAGCGAACAAGUACCGUGAGGGAAAGAUGAAAAGAACUUUGAAAAGAGAGUUAAACAGUACGUGAAAUUGUUGAAAGGGAAACGAUUAAAGUCAGUCGUACUAACGGGGAAUCAACCUUUUGAGGGUGGAAUUGUGGGAUUCAGAGUGCCUUUGUCUUUCACAACCUACUUUUUUUGGGUGCACUUUCUCGUAUUGUAGGUCAGCAUCGGUUUCGACCGUUAUAAAAUGACUGGAGGAAUGUAGCUUCGAUCUCGUAUUGAAGUGUUAUAGCCUUUGGUAGAUGUAACGGAUGGGAUCGAGGAUUGCAAUGAAUACCCUCAUGGGCUAUCCGCCUGGCCUCUGACAUGUCACUCUGGUGCCGAAAGCUUGCUUAUGGUAUUAUAGUGUACGGUCAAAAGGUUAGAACGGAUUAAAUU
RNAcentral lists this ribosomal RNA (702 nucleotides) under uncultured Glomeromycotina. Its description in RNAcentral is "eukaryotic LSU rRNA". It matches the Rfam family "Eukaryotic large subunit ribosomal RNA", at positions 58 to 640 of the family's 3401-position model. Lineage: Eukaryota; Fungi; Glomeromycota. The record is from RNAcentral.